UUGAUCAUAGGUGAAAUCCAAUCCCUUCGCCUCUCGGAAGCGAGAAAGGGAGCAGCAAGCGUAGGCUUCGACAGUGCGUUUUGGGGCGCUAGUACUUAGUUGCUUUGGCGCGCCCCCUUUUUUUUUCAGAUGUCCACCCCAAACCGAAGGGGCGGAGGGCGCACAACCCCUUCUCCGCUCCUUUCCUGAGCGUUUCACACUAAGCUCUUCGAUUCUGCCCUGCGCCUCUCU
Molecule: long non-coding RNA, 231 nt
Filed under: Phoenix dactylifera (date palm)
Lineage: Eukaryota; Viridiplantae; Streptophyta; Magnoliopsida; Arecales; Arecaceae
Description: long non-coding RNA (PDAC_LNC010469)
Source: RNAcentral